Molecule: unclassified non-coding RNA, 213 nt
Filed under: Hevea brasiliensis (rubber tree)
Lineage: Eukaryota; Viridiplantae; Streptophyta; Magnoliopsida; Malpighiales; Euphorbiaceae
Source: RNAcentral
UAAAGGCAGCCAAAGCUGCAAACGCUCAUGACUUCAUUAUUUCACUUCCUCAGGGCUAUGACACACCAGUUGGUGAACGCGGAGGCCUUCUCAGUGGUGGCCAGCGACAGAGAAUUACAAUUGCGAGAGCUUUGCUUAAGAAUGCUCCAAUCCUUAUACUUGAUGAGGCGACCAGUGCCCUAGAUGCAGUUAGUGAGCGACUAGUCCAGGACG